GACAGAGGUCUCGAGCGUUAGGCGGAAUCACUGGGCUUAAAGCGUGUGUAGGCGGAUUUGUAAGUACCUUGUGAAGUCCCACGGCUUAACCGUGGAACUGCUGGGUAUACUGCUUAUCUUGGGCCAUCUAGGGGCGAGCGGAACAAACGGUGGAGCGGUGAAAUGCGUAGAUAUCGUUUGGAACGCCAAUGGUGAAAACAGCUCGCUGGGGAUGUGCCGACGCUGAGACACGAAAGCCAGGGGAGCGAACGGG
RNAcentral lists this ribosomal RNA (253 nucleotides) under uncultured bacterium. RNAcentral describes it as "partial 16S ribosomal RNA". It matches the Rfam family "Bacterial small subunit ribosomal RNA", at positions 524 to 776 of the family's 1533-position model. The record is from RNAcentral.